UCUCCGUAGGUGAACCUGCGGAGGGAUCAUUACUGAGUGAGGGCUCCGGCCCGACCUCCAACCCCAUGUGAACACAACUUGUUGCUUCGGGGGCGACCCUGCCGUUUCGACGGCGAGCGCCCCCGGAGGCCUUCAAACACUGCAUCUUUGCGUCGGAGUAUCAAUCAAAUUGAACAAAACUUUCAACAAUGGAUCUCUUGGUUCUGGCAUCGAUGAAGAACGCAGC
This 226-nucleotide unclassified non-coding RNA is filed under the name uncultured fungus. RNAcentral describes it as "sequence contains ITS1, 5.8S rRNA gene". The stretch from base 178 to 226 matches the Rfam family "5.8S ribosomal RNA", at positions 1 to 49 of the family's 154-position model. Lineage: Eukaryota; Fungi. The record is from RNAcentral.